This 1009-nucleotide long non-coding RNA is filed under the name Mus spicilegus (steppe mouse). RNAcentral's name for it is "lncRNA (ENSMSIG00000021073.1)". Lineage: Eukaryota; Metazoa; Chordata; Mammalia; Rodentia; Muridae. The record is from RNAcentral.
GGAGGAGCUGAGAGAAAGUAAAGUACUUAUUUCAGUCCACUUCUGACAGACCUUGUCACUGUGCCUGCAACCUGGUCAGAGAGGAAGUAAGGACUGGUGUCAGGAGGGAGCUGCUAGGUGACAAAGGGAAGAGCCCUCAGGAUAGGGCUGGGGUUGGGAGUGUGGGAUUAGGAGGAAAAUGCUGGGUGGGUGGUGGAUGAGAGAAGUAGGCAGACAUGAAUUCUUCAGGGAAAGCUGUGUAGAGGGUUGGAGGGAGGGAAGAUUGGAUGAUUGAGCUGAGUGAGAGCCCAGGGAUGUGAUCAGGGGUCUAUUAACUGGCUUCCAACUUCCAAGGUUUUAUCUGUGCAGCUCUUCUCCCAGGAUGGACAAUUCUCAUGCUACAAAGUCCUGUGUGCUCAUCCUUCUUGUGGUCCUACUGUGUGCAGAAAGAGACUCUCAGAGAAAAAAAGCAAAGAACAGUUAUUGCUUUUCCAUCUGCCCUACUAAUAAAUAUUUCACGAUCCUGGAUGCUACUGUCAGCGUGAAGAGUUUCUGUUGCGAGGAAGACCUCUGCAAUGCAGAGAUUGCCACAGGAAGCAGCUCCUAGACCACGGCAGGGGUGCUUCUGUUCAGCCUGGGCUCAGUCCUCCUGCAGACCCUGCUGUGAUGGUCCUUCCAACAACCCUCACCCUUGUCCUUUUAUCCUCAUGUGUAAGCACUUUUUCCUGGAGCCCUCUAGUGAUGAAUUGUGAGUUGUAGAAGCUCCAAGGUGGGGGACUUUAUAACCUCAGCUGGGUAGUUCCCCACUCCUCUCUAGGGCUUUCGAAUCUGUACUUCCUGGAAUGUUAUUUUGUUUUGACUUGCUACUUUUGGCCCUGGAGGCAAGGGGCCAGCACAGGGAAUAGGCAAAUUUCCAAGGUAUUAUGCCAUCCCCAUCCACAUGUAAGUAUCUGGGGUCCUCCAGGGUUCCCACAUGUGCUGUUCAAUGUCUCUCUGUUGAGUUCAAUAAAGACUUUGUUCUCCCAGCUAA